GUCCGGGACAGACGGCGAGGGCGCUUCCCCUGCAGCCAGCCGGAAGGAUGGGGCUCUGGAGGGGCUGAGCCGGCGGUGAUCCUGGCGGGCAGCCUGCAUGCCGGGGGCUUCUCACCUCGCCGGGCUGUGCACACCUCGGGUGGGCUCUGGCCCCGGGACCCUGGAGCAGCAGGGGGAAGGAAGCCUGGCGAUCCAGAGCCCACGGAGGAGACCGUGUUCUGACUCCUGUCAGGUGCCAGGCCCCGCCCUCGGAUCCCCGGAUCCUCGCUCUUGGGGGGAUUCUCAUGACUUCAGAAGCCUUGACGCCCAGGGGUGGUGGGCACAGCCACAGAGAGGCAGCAAGUGGAAUUCUGGGCAAUUCUGCCUCUCCCAGGUACUUGCUGCCUCUUCACACACCCACAACCCCACCUCCACCCCACCCCCCCGGAUCCAUCCUCCACAUGGCAGCCUGGUGAACCUGGCCAGGUCACACAAGGAGGAGGCCCUCUGAACAAAACCUAAAACGCCCUACCCCUUGGCCUUGGCCUUACCCCUCCCCCAGCUCCUUCUGUGCAGUGGUGCUCACCGCAGGCCUGGCUUGCCCUGCUCCACACAUGCUAGCAGCAGACGGCACUUCUUCCACCCAUACGAUGCUCAAUGGGACAGAAAGACGGUGUGGAGAGAGCAGUGCUCCCCCAAAUAACCCAGGACUGAGGAAAGUGUGAUAAUCCUUGCUAAAUUCUACCUGGCAGCUCACUGCCACCCACUGCCCCAGGAGCUUUGAUGAUGAUUUUAAAAAUUUAUUUUUGGCUG
This is a long non-coding RNA of Bos taurus (domestic cattle), 792 nucleotides long. NCBI's taxonomy places the organism in Eukaryota, Metazoa, Chordata, Mammalia, Artiodactyla, Bovidae. The record is from Ensembl.